Molecule: ribosomal RNA, 483 nt
Filed under: uncultured bacterium
Lineage: Bacteria
Description: partial 16S ribosomal RNA
Rfam family: Bacterial small subunit ribosomal RNA
Source: RNAcentral
AUUGAACGCUGGCGGCAUGCCUUACACAUGCAAGUCGAACGGCAGCACGGGUGCUUGCACCUGGUGGCGAGUGGCGAACGGGUGAGUAAUACAUCGGAACAUGUCCUGUAGUGGGGGAUAGCCCGGCGAAAGCCGGAUUAAUACCGCAUACGAUCUACGGAUGAAAGCGGGGGACCUUCGGGCCUCGCGCUAUAGGGUUGGCCGAUAGCUGAUUAGCUAGUUGGUGGGGUAAAGGCCUACCAAGGCGACGAUCAGUAGCUGGUCUGAGAGGACGACCAGCCACACUGGGACUGAGACACGGCCCAGACUCCUACGGGAGGCAGCAGUGGGGAAUUUUGGACAAUGGGCGAAAGCCUGAUCCAGCAAUGCCGCGUGUGUGAAGGCCUUCGGGUUGUAAAGCACUUUUGUCCGGAAAGAAAUCCUUGGCUCUAAUACAGUCGGGGGAUGACGGUACCGGAAGAAUAAGCACCGGCUAACUACGUG